AUUGCCAAAUUGCAUUGAUAAAAGAGGACAUUUGCAUGAGCUCUUGUACGCUGCUUUUACAUUUCACACUGACUCCCAUUGUAUCCGGGGCUCUUUUGUUCACGGCAAUAACAAGGAAACAGUGAUUCUUUCAAGAAGUGACUGCUGCAUGAUUAGUCUCUCACCCACCCACAACCCUCGCAGCUGUCAAUGAUGCUGUGAAGAGUAAACAGAUGCAGAUGAUUCAUUCCUGUUUGGUCGCGGGCAUGCCAGAGCCUAUCCCAGCUGACUUCGGGUGAAAGACGGACUACACCCUGAACUGACCAGUCAGUCACAGGGCAACACGCAAUCACAUUCACACCGCCACUGAUUGGGAACUGAACCCACGCUGCCUGCACUAGAGUCACUGAAGUCGUAGUUGUAAGAGGAAGGCCUCCCGUUGACCCGCAGCAGCAUCAGCAUCACCAGAUAAAAACAACAACGAAAACAACAACAGCUUUGGAUUGGAAUCGGCCCACGUUUCGACCUUAAGCGUCUCCUCCCUGCAAGAGGUCCGCUUGACGCAUCAGGCCGAAGCGCUUGUUGGCUUGUUUGUCGAGUGCUAAGGCAGUCGGACUGAAUGAGUCUGUGGAGAUCCAGUACCGGGUUACAUGAGAGCUGGUGAGUGGAAUGUCAGUCAGUAGAGUGCAGACCUCCUCCUAGGCCAAAGCCAGUCAAUCAGCAAGUUUUUUUAUUAGUUAUUUUUCAAAUAAACAAGAACAAAAUACAAAAAUUGUGUAAAACUACUCAACAUCUGAAGGCGCUUGAUAGCAUUGUAAACAGAUUGGGAACAGGAUGGUGUUUGCAACCUGAGUAACUGACUGUGUAAGAACUAUUGUACUAAUCGUUUUUCGACUGAUUUUUUUAUUUUUAUUUCAUUCUUCUA
This is a long non-coding RNA of Phyllopteryx taeniolatus (common seadragon), 904 nucleotides long. RefSeq lists it as uncharacterized. The record is from RefSeq and is a predicted model, not a curated record. The transcript is spliced from 5 exons. Lineage: Eukaryota; Metazoa; Chordata; Actinopteri; Syngnathiformes; Syngnathidae.